RNAcentral lists this ribosomal RNA (425 nucleotides) under uncultured bacterium. RNAcentral describes it as "bacterial SSU rRNA". It matches the Rfam family "Bacterial small subunit ribosomal RNA", at positions 356 to 773 of the family's 1533-position model. The record is from RNAcentral.
GGGGAAUAUUGCGCAAUGGGGGAAACCCUGACGCAGCAACGCCGCGUGGGUGAUGAAGGCUUUCGGGUCGUAAAACCCUGUCAGAGGGAAAGAACUGGUUUGUGAGGAAAUGCACAGACCUUGACGGUACCCUCAGAGGAAGCACCGGCUAACUCCGUGCCAGCAGCCGCGGUAAAACGGGGGGUGCAAGCGUUGUCCGGAAUUACUGGGCGUAAAGGGCGUGUAGGCGGCACUUCAAGUCAGAUGUGAAAUCCCUCGGCUUAACUGGGGAAUUGCAUUUGAAACUGGUGAGCUCGAGUACGGUAGAGGGAAGGGGAAUUCCCGGUGUAGAGGUGAAAUUCGUAGAUAUCGGGAGGAAUACCAGUGGCGAAGGCGCCUUCCUGGACCAGUACUGACGCUGAGACGCGAAAGCGUGGGGAGCAAAC